Molecule: microRNA precursor, 150 nt
Filed under: Chlorocebus sabaeus (green monkey)
Lineage: Eukaryota; Metazoa; Chordata; Mammalia; Primates; Cercopithecidae
Description: miRNA (ENSCSAG00000022197.1)
Source: RNAcentral
UCCUCUUCCUCUUCCUCUUCCUCUUCCUCUUCCUCUGUUUAUCUUCCUCUUCUUUCCCAUUUCCAUUUGUUUCUUCUGAGGAAGAAGAUGGAGGAAUAGGAAAGAUUUCAAUUUUUAUUUUUGAAACACAGUAUUGAAGAUUUGUCUAUG